GACGAACGCUGGCGGCGUGCUUAACACAUGCAAGUCGAACGGUGAAGCUCCAUCUUGCUGGAGUGGGUCAGGGGCGAACGGGUGAGUAACAGGUAAGCAACCUGCCCCUGACUCUGGAAUAAGCGCUGCAAACGGCGUCUAAUACUGGAUACGAGAAGGGUCCGCAUGGACAGUUUAUGGAAGGUUUUUCGGUUGGGGAUGGGCCCGCGGCCUAUCAGCUUGUUGGUGAGGUAAUGGCUCACCAAGGCGAGGACGGGUAGCCGGCCUGAGAGGGCGACCGGCCACACUGGGACUGAGACACGGCCCAGACUCGUACGGGAGGCAGCAGUGGGGAAUAUUGCACAAUGGGCGAAAGCCUGAUGCAGCGACGCCGCGUGAGGGAUGACGGCCUUCGGGUUGUAAACCUCUUUCAGCAGGGAAGAAGCGAAAGUGACGGUACCUGAAGAAGAAGCACCGGCUAACUACGUG
Molecule: ribosomal RNA, 468 nt
Filed under: uncultured bacterium
Lineage: Bacteria
Description: partial 16S ribosomal RNA
Rfam family: Bacterial small subunit ribosomal RNA
Source: RNAcentral